This 529-nucleotide ribosomal RNA is filed under the name uncultured Methanotrichaceae archaeon. Its description in RNAcentral is "bacterial SSU rRNA". It matches the Rfam family "Archaeal small subunit ribosomal RNA", at positions 339 to 868 of the family's 1478-position model. The record is from RNAcentral. Lineage: Archaea; Methanobacteriati; Methanobacteriota; Methanomicrobia; Methanotrichales; Methanotrichaceae.
GCGCGAAAACUUUACAAUGCUGGAAACAGCGAUAAGGGGACCUCGAGUGCCAGGUUACAAAUCUGGCUGUCGUGAUGCCUAAAAAGCAUUGCAUAGCAAGGGCCGGGCAAGACCGGUGCCAGCCGCCGCGGUAACACCGGCGGCUCGAGUGGUAACCGUUAUUAUUGGGUCUAAAGGGUCUGUAGCCGGCCGGGUAAGUCUCUUGGGAAAUCUGGCAGCUUAACUGUCAGGCUUUCAGGAGAUACUGCUUGGCUCGAGGCCGGGAGAGGUGAGAGGUACUUCAGGGGUAGGGGUGAAAUCUUGUAAUCCUUGAAGGACCACCAGUGGCGAAGGCGUCUCACCAGAACGGACCUGACGGCAAGGGACGAAAGCUAGGGGCACGAACCGGAUUAGAUACCCGGGUAGUCCUAGCCGUAAACGAUACUCGCUAGGUGUCGGCCACGGUGCGACCGUUGUCGGUGCCGUAGGGAAGCCGUGAAGCGAGCCACCUGGGAAGUACGGCCGCAAGGCUGAAACUUAAAGGAAUUGG